Molecule: ribosomal RNA, 497 nt
Filed under: uncultured bacterium
Lineage: Bacteria
Description: partial 16S ribosomal RNA
Rfam family: Bacterial small subunit ribosomal RNA
Source: RNAcentral
GAUGAACGCUGGCGGCGUGCCUAAUACAUGCAAGUCGAGCGAACAGACGAGGAGCUUGCUCCUCUGACGUUAGCGGCGGACGGGUGAGUAACACGUGGAUAACCUACCUAUAAGACUGGGAUAACUUCGGGAAACCGGAGCUAAUACCGGAUAAUAUAUUGAACCGCAUGGUUCAAUAGUGAAAGACGGUUUUGCUGUCACUUAUAGAUGGAUCCGCGCCGCAUUAGCUAGUUGGUAAGGUAACGGCUUACCAAGGCAACGAUGCGUAGCCGACCUGAGAGGGGGAGCGGACAAAAUGGAACUGAGAACCGGUCGAGAGAACGACGGGAGGAAGCAGUAGGGAAGAGUGGACAAUGAGCGAAAGCCUGAUAAAUCAAUACCGAGUGAGUGAAGAAGGAUGUAGUGUUGUAAAACCCUGUUAUGGGGAAAGAAAAGAAGGAGGAGAAUACCGCGCUGUUAUGACGGUACCUAAAGAAAAAGCAACGGCUAACUUCGUG